UACGUAGGGGGCAAGCGUUGUUCGGAAUUACUGGGCGUAAAGGGCGCGUAGGCGGCUCAGCAAGUCGGGGGUGAAAGCCCGGGGCUCAACCCCGGAAUGGCUUUCGAAACUGCUGAGCUAGAGUACAGAAGGGGCAACCGGAAUUCCCAGUGUAGCGGUGAAAUGCGUAGAUAUUGGGAAGAACACCUGAGGCGAAGGCGGGUUGCUGGGCUGAUACUGACGCUGAUGCGCGAAAGCCAGGGGAGCAAACGGG
This 253-nucleotide ribosomal RNA is filed under the name uncultured bacterium. Its description in RNAcentral is "partial 16S ribosomal RNA". It matches the Rfam family "Bacterial small subunit ribosomal RNA", at positions 524 to 776 of the family's 1533-position model. The record is from RNAcentral.